GUGCCAGCCGCCGCGGUAAUACGGAGGGUGCAAGCGUUAAUCGGAAUUACUGGGCGUAAAGCGCACGCAGGCGGUCUGUCAAGUCGGAUGUGAAAUCCCCGGGCUCAACCUGGGAACUGCAUUCGAAACUGGCAGGCUAGAGUCUUGUAGAGGGGGGUAGAAUUCCAGGUGUAGCGGUGAAAUGCGUAGAGAUCUGGAGGAAUACCGGUGGCGAAGGCGGCCCCCUGGACAAAGACUGACGCUCAGGUGCGAAAGCGUGGGGAGCAAACAGGAUUAGAUACCCUGGUAGUCCACGCCGUAAACGAUGUCGACUUGGAGGUUGUGCCCUUGAGGCGUGGCUUCCGGAGCUAACGCGUUAAGUCGACCGCCUGGGGAGUACGGCCGCAAGGUUAAAACUCAAAUGAAAUUGACGGGGGCCCGCACAAGCGGUGGAGCAUGUGGUUUAAUUCGAUGCAACGCGAAGAACCUUACCUACUCUUGACAUCCA
Molecule: ribosomal RNA, 487 nt
Filed under: uncultured Citrobacter sp.
Lineage: Bacteria; Pseudomonadati; Pseudomonadota; Gammaproteobacteria; Enterobacterales; Enterobacteriaceae
Description: bacterial SSU rRNA
Rfam family: Bacterial small subunit ribosomal RNA
Source: RNAcentral